AUCCGCUGUGGGCGUAAGGGAAUUGAGGAGAGCUGCCCCUAGUACGAGAGGACCGGGGUGGACGGACCAAUGGUGUUCCAGUUGUCGUGCCAACGGCAUAGCUGGGUAGCUACGUCCGGGAUGGAUAACCGCUGAAAGCAUCUAAGUGGGAAGCCAGCUCCAAGAUGAGUUCCCUCGCUAGGGUCAAACCUAGGUAAGUGCGCUGGAAGACGACCAGUUUGAUAGGCAGGGCGUGUAAGGGCAGAGAUGUCUUCAGCUAACCUGUACUAACGCACGAGGGCUUAAUCGU
Molecule: ribosomal RNA, 289 nt
Filed under: Caldilineaceae bacterium
Lineage: Bacteria; Bacillati; Chloroflexota; Caldilineae; Caldilineales; Caldilineaceae
Description: partial 23S ribosomal RNA
Rfam family: Bacterial large subunit ribosomal RNA
Source: RNAcentral